ACGCUCGACACCUACGGAGGCAGCAGUGGGGAAUAUUGCACAAUGGGGGAAACCCUGAUGCAGCGACGCCGCGUGAAGGAAGAAGUAUCUCGGUAUGUAAACUUCUAUCAAGCAGGGAAGAAAGUGACGGUACCUGACUAAGAAGCCCCGGCUAACUACGUGACAGCAGCCGCGGUAAUCUGAGCGGGCUGGCAAGGC
RNAcentral lists this ribosomal RNA (198 nucleotides) under uncultured bacterium. RNAcentral describes it as "partial 16S ribosomal RNA". It matches the Rfam family "Bacterial small subunit ribosomal RNA", at positions 328 to 539 of the family's 1533-position model. The record is from RNAcentral.